This 423-nucleotide ribosomal RNA is filed under the name bacterium S1A-202-16S. RNAcentral describes it as "bacterial SSU rRNA". It matches the Rfam family "Bacterial small subunit ribosomal RNA", at positions 62 to 502 of the family's 1533-position model. The record is from RNAcentral.
UCGAACGAUGAACCACUUCGGUGGGGAUUAGUGGCGAACGGGUGAGUAACACGUGGGCAAUCUGCCCUUCACUCUGGGACAAGCCCUGGAAACGGGGUCUAAUACCGGAUAACACUCCCGCACUCAUGUGCGGGGGUUAAAAGCUCCGGCGGUGAAGGAUGAGCCCGCGGCCUAUCAGCUUGUUGGUGAGGUAAUGGCUCACCAAGGCGACGACGGGUAGCCGGCCUGAGAGGGCGACCGGCCACACUGGGACUGAGACACGGCCCAGACUCCUACGGGAGGCAGCAGUGGGGAAUAUUGCACAAUGGGCGAAAGCCUGAUGCAGCGACGCCGCGUGAGGGAUGACGGCCUUCGGGUUGUAAACCUCUUUCAGCAGGGAAGAAGCGAAAGUGACGGUACCUGCAGAAGAAGCGCCGGCUAACU